GAUGAAGAACGUAGCAAAAUGCGAUAAGUAAUGUGAAUUGCAGAAUUCAGUGAAUCAUCGAAUCUUUGAACGCACAUUGCGCCCGCCAGUAUUCUGGCGGGCAUGCCUGUUCGAGCGUCAUUUCAACCCUCAAGCACAGCUUGGUGUUGGGACUCGCGUUAAUUCGCGUUCCUCAAAUUGAUUGGCGGUCACGUCGAGCUUCCAUAGCGUAGUAGUAAAACCCUCGCUACUGGUAAUCGUCGCGGCCACGCCGUUAAACCCCAACUUCUGAAUGUUGACCUCGGAUCAGGUAGGAAUACCCGCUGAACUUAAGCAUAUCAAUAAGCGGAGGA
RNAcentral lists this unclassified non-coding RNA (332 nucleotides) under soil metagenome. RNAcentral describes it as "partial contains 5.8S ribosomal RNA, internal transcribed spacer 2, and large subunit ribosomal RNA". The stretch from base 1 to 120 matches the Rfam family "5.8S ribosomal RNA", at positions 35 to 154 of the family's 154-position model. The record is from RNAcentral.